UACGUAGGGUGCGAGCGUUGUCCGGAAUUAUUGGGCGUAAAGAGCUCGUAGGCGGUCUGUCGCGUCGAUCGUGAAAACUUGGGGCUUAACCCUGAGCUUGCGGUCGAUACGGGCAGACUUGAGUUCGGCAGGGGAGACUGGAAUUCCUGGUGUAGCGGUGAAAUGCGCAGAUAUCAGGAGGAACACCGGAGUCGGAAGGCGGGUCUCUGGGCAUUAACUGACGCUGAGGAGCGAAAGCUGGGGAGCAAACAGG
Molecule: ribosomal RNA, 253 nt
Filed under: uncultured bacterium
Lineage: Bacteria
Description: partial 16S ribosomal RNA
Rfam family: Bacterial small subunit ribosomal RNA
Source: RNAcentral